GAUGAACGCUGGCGGCGUGCCUAAUACAUGCAAGUCGAGCGGUAAGGCCACUUCGGUGGUACACGAGCGGCGGACGGCUGAGUAACACGUAGGAACGUACCCCAAACUGAGGGAUAACUGCUCGAAAGAGUAGCUAAUACCGCAUGUGCUCUAAGGAGUAAAGCUACGGCGGUUUGGGAACGGCCUGCGCAUGAUUAGCUUGUUGGUGAGGUAAUGGCUCACCAAGGCGACGAUCAUUAGCUGGUCUGAGAGGAUGAUCAGCCAGACUGGGACUGAGACACGGCCCAGACUCCUACGGGAGGCAGCAGUAGGGAAUUUUCCACAAUGGGGGCAACCCUGAAGGAGCAACGCCGCGUGCAGGAUGAAGGCCCUUGGGUCGUAAACUGCUUUUAUCUGUGAAGAUUAUGACGGUAGCAGAUGAAUAAGGAUCGGCUAACUCCGUGCCAGCAGCCGCAGUAA
This 459-nucleotide ribosomal RNA is filed under the name uncultured bacterium. Its description in RNAcentral is "partial 16S ribosomal RNA". It matches the Rfam family "Bacterial small subunit ribosomal RNA", at positions 28 to 523 of the family's 1533-position model. The record is from RNAcentral.